This 3128-nucleotide long non-coding RNA is filed under the name Equus caballus (horse). RNAcentral's name for it is "lncRNA (ENSECAG00000028320.2)". Lineage: Eukaryota; Metazoa; Chordata; Mammalia; Perissodactyla; Equidae. The record is from RNAcentral.
GAAAAGGCCACUGGGUGAGAGGCCACAGCCAGCCCUGAUCCUGGGGCCUGGCCCCUCUCUCCUGGGCGAAGCAGCAUCCAUCGGGCUCUCCCCACAGCUGCUCCCUUGUGUGCGGGCUCCAGGCCUCUGGAACCCAGAAGAACGGGGCGCAGAGACGACCAGGCUGAUGGCGCCAGGUCCUCGUCCGGCCUUGGCCACACUGGUUCCCACCUGCGUUAGAGGGUCCCGUCUGGCAUCCUUGGCCAUUGGUUACUUGUGGAGACUAUUUCAAUUAGCUCGUUUGUGUCUCCCAGUUAAUAACGGAGAACGGCAAUGGAGCAGAGGAAAUGAGAGAUGGCAGUCACUGCUCAGCAGUGACCCGCAGGGCGUGGACGAAGGAGGAAGGCACCGGAUAUUGUCACAGAGCCUCAUGUCUCUGAUGACUUCUGGACCACUCGGGGGCAUGUGGUUUCUCAGUGGCAGGUGGGACCAUCCCAUCUGUCCUGCCACCCUCGCCUGGCUGACCACAGCCUCCUGUGUCCCCUUCGUUUUGACCUCACGCGGUCCCCACCAGGAGGGCACUGCCUCCUCUGGUACAGUGGAGGAGACUGAGGCUCCAAGGACAGUCCCACCCAGGGUCGCAUGGCGCUGUGCGGUCCAGCGGGUCUCUCAUUGGCCUCCUGACCCUCCAGGCCUGGCUGCCGUGGGCCCUAAAUUCAAUCACAGGAACGAAGCACUUCGAAAUGCACAAGCUGUAAGGCUCCUGUCUCCCCGUCUGGACCGUGAAGACUUGCUGGAUGGGCUGUCUUCUCAGGAAGGCAGGAAGAGCCUCCUGGGUUCUCUGGAGGGGAGCCACCCAGCCCCUCUCCCCUCCUCUCGCAGGUCCUCCGUCGCUCUGCCUCCGGGCUCCGUCCAGGCACCUGCCAUGCGCCCUCUUGCCCACCAUUCUCUAAGCAUCUGGGCGCAAAACCAGCCUGGGAGGUCUGCCUGGCGCUGUGCCAGCCCUGGAGACACACGGACCCCAACCCCUCACGUGCUCUCUUGCCCGAGGAGGGGGCGGCCGCUGCCAGGUUGCCCUUCUGCUUCAACAGCCUUGCGAACUUGCCUCCCUCCAUGGUCCCUGGCUCCUAACAAGGCUGCGUUUGUCUUGUAGUUGAAAUUCCACUAAUUUUUCUCUGCCUUUGCAUUAAUGAUUCCUCUUUAAACAUCAAAGGGAGCCGUAGGACGAUUUUACUCCCAGCCAUUUCGGAUGAGAGGUGCCUGAUGAUUAUCCGCCGCUCCAAUGACAGGCUGCGCUCUCCUCGGAUUCCCAAGAUUACAAAAGGAAAUUCAGCUAAUUAUAGUCUGAUAGAAAUUACAGUCCUGCCGAUUCCUGAUUGACUUGGUGGCUUGGCAUGAAUCAUUGUGUUCUUUGAUAAGAUUUUAUUAAUCGGGCAGGAAUCUCACGAGGUCCCUCCUGGCAGGAGAAUUUCUUUUGUGUACCUCUCCCACAAACAACUUGCCCGUGUUAUGCCCGCAAGCCAUGGAGGGGCUGGAUUAUGGGGAUGGGGAAGCAAGAACAGAGGCCUGGAGUCAGGAAUCCUGGGUUUCUGCGUAGCCAGGAACCUGCUGUGUGACCUUUGGCAGACCUCUUGCCUCUCUGGGCCUUCUUUGCUUCAUCGGAAGGGAGGCAGUGUGGUACAGCGGUUAAGAACAGGGGCUCUGGGCUCAGACUGCCCCUUUCUAGCUGUGUGUCCUUGGGCAACUUCUUUGAGCCUCAGUUUCUUCAUCCGUAAAAUGGGGAUGCUGGUAAUAAGAACUCACAAGGUUCUUCUAAGAAUUAAAUGAGCUAAUAUAUGUGGGCUGACGAAGCUGUAUAAUACACGUAAAUCAGCUGGCAUGCAAGGAGAGCUCCAAAGGUACCAGCUGUGUUCUUAUUAAAGUGGCCACGGGCAGGAGUCGAGAUGACGUCUACAGACCCGUGCAGACAGAGAUCCCCGAGCCGUGAGGGAGGCGGGGUCCCCGUUCGCAGGUGGGAAAACUGAGACUCAGGGAGGCCCUGGGAAGUACAGACAGUCACGCAGGGAACAGGAGGCCCGCGAGAGAUCCUGCCGCUCUCCUUCCUGAAACCGCCCGGCGGCCUCUCCACGCGGAACUUAGCCAGAAGGAACAUGCGAUCUUCGAAAGGGCGUUGGCUCUGCGGGAUGCUGGGCCCGUGGCCGCACACGUCACCGAGGCCCUCCUGCCCCAUGGUGGUCCAGGAGCAGGGAGUUGAUGGGCGUAUUGAGAGCGUCUGGGUUGGAGGCUGGGGGUGAAGGAACCGCGAGCACCUGCCAACUUGCUUAGGCCUGAAAAGGACCCGGACCAGCGGGAGGGCGGUUUACUGUCAUGCCAAUAGUUUCCGCCCCUGGGCCUUUGCCGAGGCCUGGUCCUGGGCGUCCCUAUGUGUCUAAAUGGCAGAAGUGAGAUAUUUUAACUGCGAUUGCCAUCGCUGUCCCCAUUCCCACUUUCUCUGUCCGCCCUGCCCUUGCCUUGGGCCGCCUUGGAAUGGCUGUCGACGCAUUUGGGAUUCAGUUAAGGAGAAAUGGAGUUGGGGAUCCCUUUGGUUUGAUGUAUGAGAUGCAUUUCUAGAGUCUGGAGACGCGUCUGCAGACAGGUGAGUCGGGGCCGGCUGUCCUGGUGCAGGAAGGGCGUCGGGGUCCCCUGCCCCUCUCGGAACUGAGCCAGCACUGCGCACCCUCGGGGAGGGUGCUGCAGUAUACGACGCUGCGCAGUGUAGACGGCAGUGUAGACGGCAGUGGAGGGGAAGGAGGCUUCAAGGUAGGCAGCUGGAACUGGAAUUCUCCAGUCCAGGGAGGGGUGCGAGAUCUCACAGACGCCGUUAGUCGAUGAGGAAGCUGUCUUUUCAGGAACACACCCAACAACACCGGCAGGGCCACGGAGGGCCCGAGACGGAGGGGCUCGCCCGGAGGCACAGAUCCAGCGACCGGCGGGACCACCGGGGCCCCCAGUCUCCCCUACUCCCGCCACACGGUGGGCUCGGGAUUGGGGUCACCCUACGACUUCCCGAGCGGAGAAAUGUGUCAAAAUGAAAACUGCUGAGUGUCAGAAUCCUCCUCCACAAACCAUCCGUGUGUUUGUCUCCAGAAUGUUCUUCCUUCCCUUCCCAG